Molecule: ribosomal RNA, 301 nt
Filed under: uncultured bacterium
Lineage: Bacteria
Description: partial 16S ribosomal RNA
Rfam family: Bacterial small subunit ribosomal RNA
Source: RNAcentral
CAGUCGCCGCGGUAAUACGAAGGGUGCAAGCGUUACUCGGAAUUACUGGGCGUAAAGCGUGCGUAGGCGGUUAUAUAAGACAGAUGUGAAAUCCCCGGGCUCAACCUGGGAACUGCAUUUGUGACUGUAUAGCUAGAGUACGGCAGAGGGGGAUGGAAUUCCGCGUGUAGCAGUGAAAUGCGUAGAUAUGCGGAGGAACACCGAUGGCGAAGGCAAUCCCCUGGGCCUGUACUGACGCUCAUGCACGAAAGCGUGGGGAGCAAACAGGAUUAGAUACCCCAGUAGUCCCUGUCUCUUAUAC